Molecule: transfer RNA, 69 nt
Filed under: Sphaerodactylus townsendi
Lineage: Eukaryota; Metazoa; Chordata; Lepidosauria; Squamata; Sphaerodactylidae
Description: tRNA-Gly
Source: RNAcentral
GCCGUGACUCAGUGGCAGAGCAUCUGGUUUCCAUGCAGACGGUCCCAGGUUCCACGCCUGGCAUCUCCA